RNAcentral lists this ribosomal RNA (380 nucleotides) under uncultured bacterium. Its description in RNAcentral is "partial 16S ribosomal RNA". It matches the Rfam family "Bacterial small subunit ribosomal RNA", at positions 355 to 729 of the family's 1533-position model. The record is from RNAcentral.
UGGGGAAUUUUGGACAAUGGGCGAAAGCCUGAUCCAGCAAUGCCGCGUGUGUGAAGAAGGCCUUCGGGUUGUAAAGCACUUUUGUCCGGAAAGAAAUCCUUGGCUCUAAUACGUCGGGGGAUGACGGUCCGGAAGAAUAAGCACCGGCUAACUACGUGCCAGCAGCCGCGGUAAUACGUAGGGUGCAAGCGUUAAUCGGAAUUACUGGGCGUAAAGCGUGCGCAGGCGGUUUGCUAAGACCGAUGUGAAAUCCCCGGGCUCAACUGGGAACUGCAUUGGUGACUGGCAGGCUAGAGUAUGGCAGAGGGGGGUAGAAUUCCACGUGUGAGCAGUGAAAUGCGUAGAGAUGUGGAGGAAUACCGAUGGCGAAGGCAGCCCCC